UAAAUUCCAUCCAAUACUAGGAAUAAUAGACUUUAUUCCAACCAAUCUGGAUCCACACAAUUUUUGUAAUCACAGACUUCUUCUGUCCAAAAUACACACAACUCUCGAUAAACAAAAAUCAUAAUCUUCCAAUCAUAAUCAAUCUUCCAAUAACCUCUCAUAUAAUUCAAUCACUCAGUACUCCAAUUACAUAAUCAAUAACUCAUAAAUCAAUCUCUGAUUUAUUCCACAGACUCACUUCUCAGUAUUCAAAAACUAUCCAUUAUUCUUUAAUAACAAAGAAAACAAAGAAACAAAGAGGUAGCACCAAGCUUACCCCGGCUCAUAACUAUUACAACUUGGCACCCCAAUAAACUUCUACAACUCCUAU
Molecule: long non-coding RNA, 370 nt
Filed under: Physcomitrium patens
Lineage: Eukaryota; Viridiplantae; Streptophyta; Bryopsida; Funariales; Funariaceae
Description: long non-coding RNA (PPAT_LNC013256)
Source: RNAcentral